GAGUUUGAUCGUGGCUCAGAUUGAACGCUGGCGGCAUGCUUUACACAUGCAAGUCGAACGGGCUUAGGGGCUUGCUCCUAAGUUAGUGGCGAACGGGUGAGUAAUGCAUCGGAACGUACCGUGUAGUGGGGGAUAACCCGGCGAAAGUCGGAUUAAUACCGCAUACGAUCUAAGGAUGAAAGCAGGGGAUCGCAAGACCUUGCGCUAUACGAGCGGCCGAUGUCGGAUUAGCUAGUUGGUAGGGUAAAGGCCUACCAAGGCAACGAUCCGUAGCGGGUCUGAGAGGAUGAUCCGCCACACUGGGACUGAGACACGGCCCAGACUCCUACGGGAGGCAGCAGUGGGGAAUUUUGGACAAUGGACGAAAGUCUGAUCCAGCCAUGCCGCGUGAGUGAAGAA
This 399-nucleotide ribosomal RNA is filed under the name uncultured beta proteobacterium. Its description in RNAcentral is "bacterial SSU rRNA". It matches the Rfam family "Bacterial small subunit ribosomal RNA", at positions 9 to 412 of the family's 1533-position model. Lineage: Bacteria; Pseudomonadati; Pseudomonadota; Betaproteobacteria. The record is from RNAcentral.